CCUACGGGGGGCAGCAGUGGGGGAUAUUGCACAAUGGGGGGAACCCUGAUGCAGCGACGCCGCGUGCAGGAAGACGGCUCUAUGAGUUGUAAACUGCUUUUGUAGGGGAGCAAAGAGAGUCACGUGUGACUCAUUGAGAGUACCCGAAGAAAAAGCAUCGGCUAACUCCGUGCCAGCAGCCGCGGUAAUACGGAGGAUGCGAGCGUUAUCCGGAUUUAUUGGGUUUAAAGGGUGCGCAGGCGGAGGUGCAAGUCAGCGGUCAAAUUGCGGGGCUCAACCCCGUACUGCCGUUGAAACUGCAUCCCUUGAGUGCGCGAGAAGUAUGCGGAAUGCGUGGUGUAGCGGUGAAAUGCAUAGAUAUCACGCAGAACUCCGAUUGCGAAGGCAGCAUACCGGCGCGCAACUGACGCUCAUGCACGAAAGCGUGGGUAUCAAACAGGAUUAGAUACCCCAGUAGUC
This 459-nucleotide ribosomal RNA is filed under the name uncultured bacterium. RNAcentral's name for it is "partial 16S ribosomal RNA". It matches the Rfam family "Bacterial small subunit ribosomal RNA", at positions 338 to 795 of the family's 1533-position model. The record is from RNAcentral.